This 504-nucleotide ribosomal RNA is filed under the name uncultured bacterium. RNAcentral's name for it is "bacterial SSU rRNA". It matches the Rfam family "Bacterial small subunit ribosomal RNA", at positions 8 to 526 of the family's 1533-position model. The record is from RNAcentral.
AGAGUUUGAUCCUGGCUCAGGACGAACGCUGGCGGCGUGCCUAAUGCAUGCAAGCCGCACGCAGAGUGCUUGCACUCUGAGUGGCGCACGGCUGAGGACCACGUGGGAACAUGCCUCGGAGUGGGGGACAACAGCGCGAAAGCGGUGCUAAUCCCGCAUACGUUCGUAAGAAGAAAGCUCGUAAGAGCGCUCUGAGAGUGGCCCGCGGCCCAUCAGGUCGUAGGUGGGGUAAUGGCCUACCUAGCCGGUGACGGGUAGCUGGUCUGUGAGGACAGACAGCCAGACUGGGACUGAGACACGGCCCAGACUCCUACGGGAGGCAGCAGUGGGGAAUCUUGCGCAAUGGGCGAAAGCCUGACGCAGCGACGCCGCGUGAGUGAUGAAGGCCUUCGGGUUGUAAAGCUCUGUGGGGAGAGAAGAAUUAGUGCAGCCCAAUACGCUGCAUGAUGACGGUAUCUCCUUAGCAAGCACCGGCUAACUCUGUGCCAGCCGCCGCGGUAAUAC